GGGUUCCUCUUCUUCUCCAUGUUGUUCCUCAUGUUCGCCGCUCUGAUGCCCACGGUGCUCACAUUUCCUUUGGAGUUGGGAGUUUUCCUGAGGGAACACCUGAACUACUGGUACAGUCUGAAGGCGUAUUACCUGGCCAAGACCAUGGCUGAUGUUCCAUUCCAGGUCUUCUUCCCGGUGG
Long non-coding RNA from Nematolebias whitei (Rio pearlfish), 181 nucleotides. RefSeq lists it as uncharacterized. The transcript is spliced from 3 exons. NCBI's taxonomy places the organism in Eukaryota, Metazoa, Chordata, Actinopteri, Cyprinodontiformes, Rivulidae. The record is from RefSeq and is a predicted model, not a curated record.